AUGGCCAAUAGCAAGUAUGAGUAUGUGAAGAGGGAGUUCGAGUUCAAUCGCCAGCUCCCGGCCUCCAACUGGAUCGUCCUCCGCAUCGAUGGUUGCCACUUCCACCGAUUCUCGGAGUUGCAUGCCUUUGAGAAACCAAAUGACGAGAGCGCUUUACGAUUGAUGAACGCCUGUGCCACUUCUAUGCUCAAGAAAUACAAUGACAUAGUGUUUGCUUACGGUGCUAGCGAUGAGUACAGUUUUGUCUUUAGAGAAGAAACAGAAUUAUAUAAUAGGCGAGAAAGCAAAAUUCUCUCUAAAUGUGUUUCUUACUUCACAUCUGUAUACAUGAGGAAGUGGAAAGAUUUCUUUCCUAAUAAUGAUUUGAAGGAACUUCCAUACUUUGAUGCGCGAGUUGUAUGCUAUCCAAAUAUGAAGACUGUUCGUGAUUAUUUGGCAUGGAGACAAGUGGAUUGUCAUAUAAAUAAUCAGUACAAUACAUGCUUCUGGAUGUUGAUACAGUCCGGAAAAACCAAAAAUGAGGCAUAUCAAGCAUUGAAGGGAACAUCUUCUAAGGAUAAGAACAAGUUGCUUUUGCAACAGUUCCAAAUCAACUAUAAUGAUGAAUCGGCUAUGUUUCGGAAAGGAUCCACUGUUUAUCGAGAUAAGGUCACGAAGGUGAAAACAGACGACUAUGGGAAUCCCAUAAAAAGAACCCGUCAGGCAAUUAUAGUGUCAAAUUUUGAUAUCAUAGGUCCCGAGUUUUGGGAAAAACAUCAAUACAUUCUUGGAAAAGCAUCAGACUGCCAGUAUCUUUGGGGGAAAGAAAAAUAUGGAUACGAGUAUGUGAAGAAGUUUGUUAACAUCCCUAGGUCUCCAUGUUCCAAUUGGACCAUUGUUCGUAUUAGCGCCUGCCAAUUUGAUCAAUUCUCACUGAUCCAUUCAUUUGACAAGCCAAAUGAUGAGACCGCUUUAAGAUUGAUGAACGCUUCUGCUUCACUGAUGAUGGAGCAAUUUCCUGAUAUUAUCUUUGGCUAUGGUUUUAACAACGAGUACAGCUUUGUGUUCCAGGAGAACACUGAAUUGUACAAUAGAGAGGAGAGUUGA
This 1086-nucleotide ribosomal RNA is filed under the name Triticum aestivum (bread wheat). RNAcentral's name for it is "partial small subunit ribosomal RNA". Lineage: Eukaryota; Viridiplantae; Streptophyta; Magnoliopsida; Poales; Poaceae. The record is from RNAcentral.